GACCAUAGCUCCUGGGACCGGGAGACAAAAGUGUUUGGCUGUGUUGCUAUGGCAAACAGGUUUGUAAAAACGAACCUGUUUAUAAAUCAUGAUAUUUUAAAUGUACUGUCCUACGGUAUGCUAUUUAUCAAGUCUGCUUGGUAAAUUGGACUCACUGAAUGUUUAGAAGAAUUCACACUGAACAAGCACAUUCAUGCUGUACCCCACUGUAUGCAAGUAGUUGUGGUGGCAAUUUAGCAUUAAAAAAUUAAAAAGAUUCCGUGUGAUUCCUUUACUAAGUGUUUCAGGCAUCGGUGCAUGCGAUCCCUUGUUCGCCGGCUGCUCGCCUGACAAUGCUACAUGCUAUAGCACCUGCCCUGCUGACAUCUCAACUGAAGUGAGAAACGAACAAAUCACUUGAAGUGAUUUGGUUCAGUACGUUCACUUAAAUGAUUCGGUUCUUUUGAACGAAUUGUUUGCAAACGACACAACAUUAACAAAUGGACAGAAACAAUUAUUACUUACAGGAGCUUUAAAUUGCCAGAAAAGUCAAAUAAAAAAGUAACCUCAAAGCAAACUUGAAACUGAUAUGGCUACUGAAAGGGAAUUCUAUAUCAUAUAUUAUAUAUUUUAUAUAAUAUAUAUGUGAUUAUCUUUUAUUAAAGAUUCAUGAACGGGUAACGUUGGCAUGGUUGUGCAGCCUGAGGUCAUGUAACCCAGGCUGUUUUGCAGGGACCUAAACUUAUCAGUCUGUCUAAACACGUAGGGCUAAUUUCCAGGAAAGCUGAGAAUAAUCCAGACAACAGGUAAUGUCUAACACUGGUCUGGACUUUGACACUAGGGAUGGAGAGGACACAGUGGGGAUCAGAGAGGAGCUGGAGAGAUGUCAGGUUUAAUUCUGUCCCUGUCAUUGGAGAACUUAGUGUUAAUUCUAGAGCAGACCCUGAAUAACUGGAGUCCAGCCCUGAAAAGGGUCCACUGAGCUGCUGAGGGCAGCGCUGCCAAACCCCAGAAAGCCACGCAGCUAGCUUCUUCACUGUCCUGUAAACAAUAAAGCUCAGUCACUCAGCACUCCUGUAAGCCUGGAGCACUUUCACUUUAUUGUUCUUUGCAGCUGCUUUCUGUGUUUGUGCCAAUUCUGUAUUUGCCGCGCUUUUGUUGUUAAUGCACUUGUUUUGGCUUUUUUCAGUAAGUUAUUCACCUACAGUGUGUUUUAACUGCUGUGUGUUUUACAGUACGUUUCUCCAAAUGAAGAAUGUCCAUGCCACAUUGUUGACCAUUGUCAGCCACUGUACUGCUCUUGCGUCAUGUCACAAUGACCCAUUCAAUCCAGAUACUGAGAUUGCUCUGUAUAGAGCCUAUCAGUUUCAACUAAUCACAUCUACGCCCUACAAGUGUAGACGGGAGCCAGCAGGGACAGGUGGGGUCAAGCAUCUUGUCCACGGACACUUCAGCAUGUUGACAGCAGGUCCUGGGAUUGAACCCCUGACCUUUUUAUUGGGCUGUGACUGACUCACUGAGCCAGAGCCAUCCUCUGUGUGUAUGACAAAGUGCAGGAGAGAGGCGGACACUUGUCAGGAUGUAGAGGGAGCUCACUAUCUGUCCACAAGCUGUGAGUUGUAACAGUAUCAUGCUUUUACUAGAUUAUGUUUGCUAAUAUCAUGAACAAACAUUAAAAUAAAAACUGCAUGGAUUUUGAGCCUUGACUUUAUUCUAUUCUUGUCGGGUGUAAAAACACACAAAUAGACUUUAUUUUUUUGCUGUAAAAGAAGAAAAAUCAGUGACAGUGUAUGAAGUGCAGGUAGUGUUGGCCUUCUGGAGACUAGAUUCAUGUAAAACAAGCUUAAAUAUGAUAUAAGCCGCUCGUAAAAAGACUCAUAGUACAAACCUCCUGCUGUUGCUCAUGUCACUUUUGGAUUUGAUAUGAAAGAAAUACAGAAAUUAACAGGAUUAAGUUUUCCAAGGCGCUGCAUUUAAAUCCUUCCUUCAGGAUCAGCAGGUAACUGUAUCUUUACUGGCAGAAAACCACUGUGCACAUAGAGCUAAUGUUUAGCAGCACAUUAGCUGACAAGUAUUUAAUAUCAGCAUUAAAAUACUAGAUUCUAUUCUUUUGGCUCUGCUGAUGCCAGUGUUUAGCAAGUUUUUAAGCUAAAUAAUGUUUUUACUAUGGUAUUUAAAUCCAACUUGUUGCAAAUAUCAGUGUGUUUUUCCUCUUUGAACAACACAGUCUGGGUAUAGUUUACAGGUUUUUUGAAUAACACAUUUCCUAUGUUGUAGAGGAGAAAAAAGAAAAAGAAAACACAGUAUGAGCAGCGAGGUCAAUGUCACCAACAGUUAUAUGUCAUUAAAUAAAAGUUGUUUAAAAAUAACCCUUAGAUAAUUGUCAGCGUGUGUCUGUUAAUGCUCGCAAUUGAGAGAGCACGCACAAAGCUUGGUAAUCGCUCAGGCUGCAACUUUGGGAAUGAGCAGGUUUGAGGUUAUGUGGAAAAGGCAGUGUGCAGUAUGGUGAUGUAUGGAGACAUCUCCAAGCCCUCUGACCAAAUUACAAAGUCAGUUUCACCAUAUCAGCAAAAAAAACUUUUAUUUCAUAAGUCAGAGCUCAGCUGUGCAUCUCUGAGCGUAAAACGACAAAUAAAAACUUGUGUCGGCUCUUAAUGCCCUUUCACGUUCAAACUAAUAGAAAAAGCCCCCCUGCAGACACUUACUGCCUCCAACAACGUGCUUUUGCGCGCAACCACUACAUUCGCAGGCGCCAACGUGGAUAAUUGGGACCAAACAGUGUGUCUGCUCUAACUCCCCCUUUUCUACCUUACCUUUGCAAACACAGGAUAAAAACACACACACACACACACACAGCUCACUGUGAGUCACCUGAAGGCAUGGGUUACUAUAAAAUCCUCCAAAACAACUCCUCUGCGCAGCACUUAUGAUGACUGACUUUUUGAAUAAAUAGAUAUGAAAACACUUACGCACAGCAGCGUAACUCUCCAGGCACAGACAGGAUCAGGCAGGAUCUUAUGAUAACUGACCUCUCGUGUGUUUUACUCAUAGACUGUAUAUAGAAUAGUUAUAGAAUUGUCCAUUAAUAUCCAGCAUGGCUAAAUCCUCCUACAGUUAUAUUUCAGGACUGUAAAAAAUACCCCUUAGAUGCACGUGAGCAUGUGUAGACGAGUGUGUCACUGUUUAUGCAGAGAUGGAGGGUGAGCACAUCAUGAAGCUUGGUGACGAGACAUGCUGCAACUUUGGGGCUGAGCAGGUCUGAAGUUAUGAGGAGAAAGCGGUAAGUAAUGUCGUAAAGGAUGCAAAAAAAGGAAAUCUCACUUCUCCGAGCCUUCUGACUGAAUGAAAGACUCAAUUUCAAUGUAUUAGCAAAGAAAACAAAAAGUCAGCAAAUUCUCACUUCAACUGCGGAUUUGAUCCUCAGUGCUUUGAAAUAAAGACUCCAAAAAUCUUCAGAAAGAUCCUCCAUAAACUUUCGCCAUGGAAAAUGUAAGAUUUGAACUUCUUAACAAUAUCUGAUGAGUUCCGUCAGGGGCUUGAUAACAUAGGCGAUCACAUUGACCGUAUUUCUUUUGUGUUUUAAGACUGCAAAGAAAAAGAAAACAUCCAAAAUGAAUCAAAUAUGAAUAUUGCUUACUUUUCGCCCCAUAAUUUAUCUGUUAAACUAUUUCAAACUCUGAGCUGGUACGUAAGUCCAUAUUUAGGCCUACUGUAAAGCUCUAACCUGUGCUAUAGUAACUAACCUGCUGUACAAUCUGACCUGGAGGGUCUGACUUGCAGAGGCGCUAUAUAAAUAAAGUUAUUUUCCUGUACAUAUAAUUAAGUGGGUGGUGGGUGAAAAUACAGCUGAUGAAAACUUAACACAUUUAAAUUGAAUCAUAGAGGACAAAUCCUGCAGAGAACUCAAGAAUGAAGUGCUAAAUUACCUCUCUGCAGUGCUUAAGCUGAAACCAACAUUACACAAUUUUCAUGGCCGUGUUGGCCCUGAUUCUGUGUCAAACAGAUCUGCUCAUCAUUGGCAAGCAGGACCUGUGGGACCCAUUUCCUGCAGACUGGAUUUCAAUCAAACCUUUUAAACACUGGUCAUUAAGCUCACCACGUUUUACACACCCUUCAGCUUCUCAUAACAGAUGUACCUCCACAAAGGUAAAGCAAGGGGUCUGAGGACGCCCAGGGGAUACAUGAGGGGCUGUCGAAGAGUCCCUCCAAAGUAAAAUGGAAGUUAAAUUCAACUUGGCUCAAGCAUGAUGUGUAAAAAUGUUGAAGUAAGAUUAAAACUGACGAGAAUAUCUUAUCUUCAAAGGCAGGAAUCUCUUACCUAAAGCGUCAAAUAUUCACUGCACCUUGAAAUCACCAGAAAAUUCCAAUGUGGAUCACCUGUAGCACACCGAUAUGGCUCUAGUAAGAGCAAAAGGCUGAGGAGCAUUACUACAAUUAAAAAUAAUAAGUACAGGGUUGCAAAACCUGAUGAACACCUGAAAGAUGUGGGAACUAAAAACUACCUAAAUGAGCAGUUUAAAUUUUUAGUCGUAUCCUCUACCCUAAUCUGCACAAAUCUUAGAUUAUCUCAUGUUGUUUAGGUUUAUACAGACAAAACCAGGUUACUGCAUGAAAUGAUGAUGAAGCAGUUUCACAGUCUCUGCUGAGGUUAUCGCUCCACCUUUUGUCAUUCAGUUCCACACAAUCAAACGCAACAGUGUUAUCAGAUGAGGCUAUUAGCAUGAAAUCUAAUCAAUCAUGGCUCACUGCUUAUUGUCAGAUGCAAACAAACCUCUUUCACCUGUGCACACACACACACAAACACGCGCACAAACCUCUGGUAGAAUAGCUGCGUUUGGCCUUCACUGAGAGCCUCCUCAUACCAGGUGAGCUGCAGUGAUCCCUAAUCUGCCCCAAGAUCUGUGUUACUGGCUGUAAGCAGCGUGUAAUUGGUCUGAAAUUGGGCGCAGGAUCUGAGCUUGUUUAUGUAACAAGCCUUUUGUGUGAUAAUGACACUUUGCUGUCUGCUCUGUCCGUCCCUUUUAUCUGCAUCCAAAGCGCCUGCGAGACUCCUCAGCAGCAGGAAGGUCCAGGUCCUUGAUGGUGGACAAAUGAAUCCUUUUAGGUGUACAGUGUUUAAAACCUACAGACUUUAGUCCAGAUUGCCUUGUCAGGAAGCUUUGAUGCAGCCGCUGCUGUGUCUCUCCCUCCCCUCAGCCUGUUCAUCUUCCUCUUAAGUUGAAGGUUUUGUCAGAAGUUAUUUUAGCGGAGUUGUUCCGACCCGGCUCUGGAUUUCAAGCUGGUGUUCACACUUUAGUUAAGCCUGUUUCUCUUGGUGUGUCUGUCUGUCUAUAUUCUUUUGUGUCUGACCUCAGCGAUCUCACUGAGAGCCCAUGAUGAGUCAUAGCUCAGACUGAAGCUGCUGCAGCUCAGCAGGGAGUCAGGAAUACAGAGCAGCUCAGGCGUUUUACCAACACUGACAGAUACAUUUGCACAGACAGAGGAGACACAUUCACAUGUCCUCGCAUGGCUUUGCAUAUAUGAGGCGUGACCCCAGGUUAGUGCUCACUAUCGCUUAUAAAACACGUUUCCUUCCAAAAGUGACUCAGCAGUGCUCCUACAAACCUCUAUGGAUUUAGUGAUGCAAACUAAUGUAUUUUUUUGGUGACAUGAGAACUUUUCAAUUGUCUUCUUAAAUCAUGAUACCCUCCUCAGAAUGGAGCUGAUCCAGGCGUGUCAAAAGA
Molecule: non-coding RNA, 5702 nt
Organism: Xyrichtys novacula (pearly razorfish)
Lineage: Eukaryota; Metazoa; Chordata; Actinopteri; Labriformes; Labridae
Source: the annotation of a GenBank genome assembly